Molecule: small RNA, 287 nt
Filed under: Marmota monax (woodchuck)
Lineage: Eukaryota; Metazoa; Chordata; Mammalia; Rodentia; Sciuridae
Source: RNAcentral
UAGCCAAUAUGUUGGUCCAGUACAAACUUCAGCCUGGCCAUAUAGAACCUACUUUUAGUCCACGGAAUAUACCCAUUUUUGUAAUUAAGAAAAAGUCUGGUAAAUGGAGGUUACUGCAGGGUCUCAGGGCACCCAAUCAUGUCUUAGAACCCAUGGGAGCUUUACAACCAGGGCUCCCUUCUCUUACAGCCAUUCCUCUCCAUUGUCAUUGAAUGGUGCUAGAUGUAAAUGAUUGCUUUUUUUCACUAUACCUUUAUGUCCAGAUGAUUGUCAAAAAUUGCUUUUAG